AUUUCCUUUGUGGGAAACAAUACAUAAAUGAAAAUUUGGCAUCAGACUCUUGGAACCAGAAGCAUCAGAGCCACUUGGGAACUGGUGUGAAAUGCAGAAUUCUAGAAUGUAUUUGGUGAGGAAUGUGCAUUUCAGGAAGAGCCUUAGAAGAUUCAAGUGUCUGUUCAAUUGUGAGGAGAACUGAACCAGAGUGGAUGCUGACCCCUGAUUUGAGGAGUAGUGGGAAGUUAAUAUUAGCUUUCGUGCUAUUGGUACGGGGAUUUCUAAGAGGUUCUGGUUUGUUAGAAUCUUCCAUGGUACCUGGAGGCUAAGAGAAGCUGGUUGCUUUCAAGCCCCAACAGUUGCUGAAGGAAGUGAGAUUGCGUGCAGGGUCUCAUCCAUCCAGCCAUCAGCAGCCACAGAAAAUACAUGUUCGGCUGUAUAUUGUUUUAUCCAAUUUAAAGAGUUAAGUAAAAAAUGUUUUUCUGAUUGGAAGUCAUUUCUGCUCUUCCCGGGUUGUUAGGUACUUCAUCACAAGGGUAGAUUUUCGUCUCCUCUUUCUCUAUAUAUUCUAG
This 554-nucleotide long non-coding RNA is filed under the name Ovis aries (sheep). RNAcentral describes it as "lncRNA (ENSOARG00000025831.1)". The record is from RNAcentral. Lineage: Eukaryota; Metazoa; Chordata; Mammalia; Artiodactyla; Bovidae.